GACGAACGUUGGCGGCGUGCUUAACACAUGCAAGUCGAACGGAAAGGCCCUGCUUUUGUGGGGUGCUCGAGUGGCGAACGGGUGAGUAACACGUGAGUAACCUGCCCUUGACUUUGGGAUAACUUCAGGAAACUGGGGCUAAUACCGGAUAGGAGCUCCUGCUGCAUGGUGGGGGUUGGAAAGUUUCGGCGGUUGGGGAUGGACUCGCGGCUUAUCAGCUUGUUGGUGGGGUAGUGGCUUACCAAGGCUUUGACGGGUAGCCGGCCUGAGAGGGUGACCGGCCACAUUGGGACUGAGAUACGGCCCAGACUCCUACGGGAGGCGGCAGUGGGGAAUAUUGCACAAUGGGCGGAAGCCUGAUGCAGCAACGCCGCGUGCGGGAUGACGGCCUUCGGGUUGUAAACCGCUUUCGCCUGUGACGAAGCGUGAGUGACGGUAAUGGGUAAAGAAGCACCGGCUAACUACGUGCCAGCAGCCGCGGUGAUACGUAGGGUGCGAGCGUUGUCCGGAUUUAUUGGGCGUAAAGGGCUCGUAGGUGGUUGAUCGCGUCGGAAGUGUAAUCUUGGGGCUUAACCCUGAGCGUGCUUUCGAUACGGGUUGACUUGAGGAAGGUAGGGGAGAAUGGAAUUCCUGGUGGAGCGGUGGAAUGCGCAGAUAUCAGGAGGAACACCAGUGGCGAAGGCGGUUCUCUGGGCCUUUCCUGACGCUGAGGAGCGAAAGCGUGGGGAGCGAACAGGCUUAGAUACCCUGGUAGUCCACGCUGUAAACGGUGGGUACUAGGUGUGGGGUCCAUUCCACGGGUUCCGUGCCGUAGCUAACGCUUUAAGUACCCCGCCUGGGGAGUACGGCCGCAAGGCUAAAACUCAAAGGAAUUGACGGGGCCCCGCACAAGCGGCGGAGCAUGCGGAUUAAUUCGAUGCAACGCGUAGAACCUUACCUGGGUUUGACAUGGAUCGGGAGUGCUCAGAGAUGGGUGUGCCUCUUUUGGGGUCGGUUCACAGGUGGUGCAUGGCUGUCGUCAGCUCGUGUCGUGAGAUGUUGGGUUAAGUCCCGCAACGAGCGCAACCCUUGUUCACUGUUGCCAGCACGUUAUGGUGGGGACUCAGUGGAGACCGCCGGGGUCAACUCGGAGGAAGGUGGGGAUGACGUCAAGUCAUCAUGCCCCUUAUGUCCAGGGCUUCACGCACGCUACAAUGGCUGGUACAGAGAGUGGCGAGCCUGUGAGGGUGAGCGAAUCUCGGAAAGCCGGUCUCAGUUCGGAUUGGGGUCUGCAACUCGACCUCAUGAAGUCGGAGUCGCUAGUAAUCGCAGAUCAGCAACGCUGCGGUGAAUACGUUCCCGGGGCU
Molecule: ribosomal RNA, 1346 nt
Filed under: uncultured bacterium
Lineage: Bacteria
Description: partial 16S ribosomal RNA
Rfam family: Bacterial small subunit ribosomal RNA
Source: RNAcentral